AGAGCGACCUUGCGGCGUCUUACCCAUGCAUGUCGUACGACGAUCGUCGGUGUAGCAUACAUCGGCGGUUCGAGUGGCGCCGGUGAGUAACACGUGGGUAACCCACCCUCGAGACCGGGAUACCCUCUCGAAAGGGAGGCUAAUACUGGAUACGUUCCUCGGGACGCACGUCUUGGGGAGGAAAGGUGGCGAAAGCUGCCGCUCUUGGAGGGGCUCGCGGCCUAUCAGCUAGUUAGUGAGGUAACGGCUCACCAAGGCUAUGACGGGUAGCUGGUCUGAGAGGACGACCAGCCACACGGGAACUGAGACACGGUCCCGACUCCUAUGGGAGGCAGCAGUGGGGAAUUUUCCGCAAUGGGCGAAAGCCUGACGGAGUGACGCCGCGUGGGGGACGAAGGCCUUCGGGUCGUAAACCCCUGUCAGAGCGGAAAGAAGGGUGUCGGCGUGAAUAGCGCUGGCAUCUGACGGUACCUUCAGAGGAAGCCCCGGCCAACUCUGUGCCAGCAGCCGCGGUAAGACAGAGGGGGCAAGCGUUGCUCGGAAUCACUGGGCGUAAAGGGCGCGUAGGCGGGAUGGCAAGUCGGUCGUGAAAUCCUUCGGC
Molecule: ribosomal RNA, 601 nt
Filed under: uncultured soil bacterium
Lineage: Bacteria
Description: bacterial SSU rRNA
Rfam family: Bacterial small subunit ribosomal RNA
Source: RNAcentral